AUGUCCGGCGAUAACUCGACGGAGGCUGGCCGAAAACGAAGCCGAGGCGCGGAGGCAGCGACUAGGAAGGAAGCUCUAGAGCGGCUGAAAGCGAUUCGGCAAGGAGGACUUCGGAAUCUAGCAGCUUCAGGUGGCGGCUACGAUAUCAGGAUAGAAGAACCGAUCUUCGACACCGUCGAUGACGACGAGUACGACGCGAUCGUGUCCCGGCGGCGCGAGGAGGCUCGCGGAUUCGUAGUCGACGACGGGGAAGACGGAGAUCUGGGUUACGGCGACGAAGGCGAGGAGGAGGAUUUCACGAAGCCCAGUGGGCCUGACUCGACUGAUGAAUCGGACGACGGCGGUGGAUUUAGCGGGAGACUGAGGAAGAAGAAAGCUGAGAAGAAGAAAGGGAAGGAACAGCCUCAGGUUAAGAAGGUGAAUCCGGCGCUCAAGGCUGCGGCUACUAUUACAGGUGAAGGGAGACUCUCUUCGAUGUUCACAUCUUCGAGUUUCAAGAAGGGGAAGGAGACUGAUACGGUAAAGUGCGAGGGUAUUCUUGACGAGGUUUUAGCUGAGGUAACUCCUGAUGAUUUGGAUAGAGAAAGGCAUAGGAGAAGGAAACAACCACCUACAGUUCCAGUUAUGUUCUCUAGGAAUAAAAAUGUGGUUUCUGUUACCUCCAGCAUGGCAAUGAAGGAUUCAGAACCCACAAGUGAUCGUGUUUUCAUGGAGAAGGAGUUGGUGAAAGAGAUGAAAGAAGAAGUUGUGACAGAAUCUGAAGUCACCCCUCCGCAUGAUUCCGAGAAGAUGGAGUUACCUGGAAGUGAUGGUGUUGUAGAGGAUGGAUCAAACAAUAGAAGACAAAGUGAAGCGAAGGCUGAGUCAGAAGUGAAGGAUGUGUUUACAUUGAAUGCAACGGUUGAUUUGAAAGAGAAGGAUUCGGCUUUAAGCGCCACUGCUGGUUGGAAGGAAGCAAUGGUCAAAGGUGGGACUGAGAAUGGGGCUCCACUUAGUUCUAAUUGCGAAGGGCAAACGGAAUUUGAUUUGGAUGCUGAUGGUUCACUUCGUUUUUACAUUCUUGACGCUUACGAGGAGGCUUUUGGAGCGAGUAUGGGCACAAUAUAUUUGUUUGGGAAGGUUAAGAUGGGAGAUACGUACAAGAGUUGCUCUGUGGUAGUUAAGAAUAUCCAGAGAUGUGUUUAUGCUAUUCCCAAUGAUUCCGUAUUUCCUUCACAUGAACUAAUCACGCUCGAGCAAGAGGUGAAAGACUCUAAACUUUCUCCUGAAUCAUUCCGGGGGAAGUUACAUGAAAUGGCAUCAAAUUUGAAGAACGAAAUUUCUCAGCAAUUGUUACAACUCAAUGUUUCCAGUUAUAGCAUGGCACUUGUCAAGAGAAACUAUGCAUUUGAGAGGCCUGAUGUGCCUGUUGGCGAACAAUAUGUCUUGAAGAUAAAUUAUCCAUUUAAGGAUCCUCCUCUUCCAGAAGACCUCAAAGGGGAGUCUUUUAGCGCUGUCCUUGGCUCUAACACCAGUGCUUUGGAGCUUUUUAUCCUUAAAAGGAAGAUUAUGGGACCGUCUUGGCUCAAAAUUUCAAACUUUUCUACCAAUUCACCCUCUCAACGAGUGAGCUGGUGCAAGUUUGAGGUUACUGUUGAAUCUCCCAAGGUUAUCACUGUUUUAGUUUCGGAGGAAAAAGUUGCUCAUCCUCCUGCUGUAGUUACAGCCAUAAAUUUAAAGACUAUAGUCAAUGAAAAGCAGAACAUAAGCGAAAUUGUUUCUGCGUCUGUUCUCUGCUUUCACAACGCCAAGAUUGAUGUUCCAAUGCCAGGUCCAGAAAGGAAGAGGUCUGGUAUUCUGAGUCAUUUCACUGUUGUUAGGAAUCCUGAAGGAACCGGUUACCCAAUUGGUUGGAAAAAAGAAGUGGCUGACAGAAAUUCAAAGAACCGCUGCAGCGUUUUAAGUUUUGAAAAUAGUGAAAGAGCAUUGCUGAAUCGGCUGUUUCUGGAGCUGAACAAAUUGGACAGUGAUGUUCUUGUGGGACAUAAUAUAUCAGGUUUUGAUCUGGAUGUCCUUCUCCAAAGAGCCCAGGCUUGCAAAGUUUUGAGUAGCAUGUGGUCCAAAAUUGGCCGUCUCAAACGCUCUUCCAUGCCUAAGCUUAAAGGGAACACUAAUUAUGGGUCCGGAGCUACACUAGGGAUCAUGUCUUGCAUUGCUGGAAGACUCUUGUGUGAUACAGAUCUAUGUUCUCGUGACUUGUUGAAGCAGGUCAGUUAUUCGUUAACAGAUCUCUCAAAGACACAGCUAAACCGGGACAGGAAAGAGAUAUCGCCUAAUGACAUUCCCAAAAUGUUUCAGUCAUCUAAAACACUUGUCGAACUUAUUGAAUGUGGUGAAACAGAUGCGUGGUUAUCGAUGGAGCUCAUGUUUCAUCUAAGUGUUCUUCCACUCACUCUCCAGCUAACUAACAUAAGUGGCAAUCUUUGGGGAAAAACUCUUCAGGGAGCCAGGGCGCAGAGAAUUGAAUAUUACUUGCUACAUACAUUCCACUCGAAAAAGUACAUCCUCCCAGACAAAAAUUCACAACGUAUGAAGGAAAUAAAGUCAUCAAAAAGAAGAAUGAAUCAUGGUCCGGAGGGCCACAAUGUAGAUGAAUUGGAUGCUGACCUGGCUUUGGAAAAUGAUCCGUCUAAGGACAACAAAGCAAAGAAGGGUCCAGCCUACGCUGGUGGACUGGUCUUGGAGCCAAAGAAAGGCUUAUAUGACAAAUAUGUAUUGCUUCUCGAUUUCAAUAGUCUUUACCCGUCUAUUAUACAGGAAUAUAAUAUCUGUUUCACGACCAUACCACGAUCAGAAGAUGGAGUUCCUCGUUUACCGUCGAGUCAGACACCUGGAAUUCUUCCAAAGUUGAUGGAACAUUUGGUCAGUAUAAGGAAAAGCGUCAAACUAAAGAUGGCAAAGGAAACAGGUCUUAAGUACUGGGAGCUUGACAUUAGGCAGCAGGCAAUAAAGCUCACAGCCAAUAGUAUGUAUGGAUGUCUGGGUUUUUCCAAUUCAAGAUUCUACGCUAAGCCUUUAGCAGAGCUCAUAACACUACAGGGAAGGGAGAUCCUGCAAAGAACCGUGGAUCUUGUCCAAAAUCAUUUAAACCUAGAGGUGAUUUACGGUGACACAGAUUCAAUCAUGAUUCACAGUGGACUAGAUGAUAUCGAAGAGGUGAAAGCCAUUAAAACAAAAGUCAUCCAAGAGGUCAAUAAGAAGUAUAGAUGUCUGAAAAUUGACUGUGAUGGUAUAUAUAAGAGGAUGCUUCUUCUUAGAAAAAAGAAAUAUGCUGCCGUCAAGUUGCAGUUCAAGGACGGGAAGACUUGCGAGGACAUUGAAAGAAAAGGUGUGGACAUGGUUCGUCGAGAUUGGAGCUUACUUUCCAAGGAAAUUGGAGAUUUAUGCUUGUCUAAGAUCUUGUGUGGAGGGUCAUGUGAGGAUGUUGUUGAAGCAAUUCAUAGCGAGCUUAUGAAGAUAAAAGAGGAAAUGAGAAAUGGGAAAGUUGCACUUGAGAAGUAUGUCAUCACCAAGGCAUUAACUAAGUCACCAGAAGCGUAUCCAGAUUCCAAAAGCCAACCACACGUUCAAGUUGCACUCAGAAUGAGGCAACGUGGUUAUAAAGAAGGUUUCAAUGCUAAGGAUACUGUACCAUAUAUAAUCUGCUAUGAACAGGGUAAUACUAGCUCUGCGAGCUCAGCAGGGAUUGGCGAACGUGCUAGGCAUCCUGAUGAGGUGAAAUCAGAAGACAGCAGAUGGUUGGUUGACAUAGAUUACUACUUGGCACAGCAGAUUCAUCCUGUGGUGUCUCGUUUAUGCGCAGAGAUUCAGGGCACAAGUCCUGAGAGGUUAGCCGAGUGUUUAGGACUUGACCCAUCAAAGUAUCGAAGCAGAUCAAACGAUGCUACUGGCAGUGAUCCUUCUACAGCACUCUUGUUUGCUACAAGCGAUGAAGAAAGAUACAAAAGCUGCGAGCCGUUAGCAUUAGCAUGCCCCAACUGCUCUGCUGCUUUCAACUGUCCAUCUAUUACUAGCUCAGUCUAUGCGUCGAUCAGUAAGAAAUCUGAAACAGAGGAAUCUGAUUCUACAUUCUGGCUUAAGCUGCAAUGCCCGAAAUGUGAGCCAGAAGGUAGCACGGGAAGAAUAUCCCCUGCAAUGAUAUCUAACCAGGUGAAAAGGCAGAUCGAUGGGUUUGUAUCUAUGUACUACAAAGGCAUAAUGAUGUGUGACGAUGAGUCUUGCAAGCACACAACUCGCAUCCCCAACUUCCGUCUGCUUGGUGACCGUGAACGGGGAACAGUUUGUCCAAACUAUCCUAAUUGUAAUGGAACUCUCUUAAGAAAGCUUUUAACUCCAAGCCUUGCCUUAUUACAGUACACUGAAGCAGACUUGUACAAGCAGCUGUCAUACUUUUGCCACAUAUUAGACACCCAGUGCAAUCUAGAAAAGCAGAUGGAUGUUGGUGUCAGAAUUCAAGUAGAGAAAGCAUUGACGAAGACAAGACCUGCGGUUCAGGCAGCAGCAUCCAUGGCUCGAAGUAUCCGAGACCGGUGUGCGUACGGAUGGCUGCAACUCACAGACAUAGCCAUUUGAUCGUAAUCAUGUAGUUAAAUUUAUACAUUUUUUUUCUUACAUCAUUAUAAUGAAGCUACUCAGUUUUGUUCAGUCCUAAAGCUUAUUAGCAUAACACUUUGAAAUAUAACCAGUAGCAGUUUUGUUCAGUCCUAAAGCUUAUUAGCAUAACACUUUGAAAUAUAACCAAAUCAUUUUCGGCUCAUGUUUCUGUGGAGAGGAAAUCUGACUUCGAAUCCUCUUCACUGUCUGAACGUUGUCUU
Brassica oleracea var. oleracea is the source of this 4853-nucleotide RNA transcript. It is a transcript of the gene named DNA polymerase alpha catalytic subunit, with no coding region annotated. The transcript has 31 exons. NCBI's taxonomy places the organism in Eukaryota, Viridiplantae, Streptophyta, Magnoliopsida, Brassicales, Brassicaceae. The record is from RefSeq and is a predicted model, not a curated record.